AGAAAAUAGAUACCCGGGUAGUCCACGCUGUAAACGAUGAUUACUCGAUGUUGGCGAUACACAGUCAGCGUCUGAGCGAAAGCAAUAAGUAAUCCACCUGGGGAGUACGAUCGCAAGAUUGAAACUCAAAGGAAUUGACGGGGGCCCGCACAAGCGGAGGAGCAUGUGGUUUAAUUCGAUGAUACGCGAGGAACCUUACCUGGGCUCGAACGUAAGAUGACUGUAGGUGAAAGCUUACAUCUCUUCGGAGCAUUUUACGAGGUGCUGCAUGGUUGUCGUCAGCUCGUGCCGUGAGGUGUCGGGUUAAGUCCCAUAACGAGCGCAACCCCUACCUUUAGUUGCCAACAGGUCAUGCUGGGGACUCUAAAGGAACUGCCUACGCAAGUAGUGAGGAAGGCGGGGAUGACGUCAAAUCAGCACGGCCCUUACGUCCAGGGCUACACACGUGCUACAAUGGCCGAUACAGAGGGCAGCUACCUGGUGACAGGAUGCAAAUCUCCAAAGUCGGUCUCAGUUCGGAUC
Molecule: ribosomal RNA, 522 nt
Filed under: uncultured bacterium
Lineage: Bacteria
Description: bacterial SSU rRNA
Rfam family: Bacterial small subunit ribosomal RNA
Source: RNAcentral